CAAUAGCGUAUAUUUAAGUUGUUGCAGUUAAAAAGCUCGUAGUCGGAUUUUGGCUGAGAACGGUCGGUCCGCCGUUAGGUGUGCACUGAUUGGUCUCAGCUUCCUGGUGAGGAGGUGUGCUUCACGGCCACUUAGUCACCGUGGUUACUUUGAAAAAAUUAGAGUGUUCAAAGCGGGCUUACGCUUGAAUAUAUUAGCAUGGAAUAACACCAUAGGACUCCUGUCCUAUUUCGUUGGUCACGGGACGGGAGUAAUGAUUAAGAGGAACAGUUGGGGGCAUUCGUAUUUCAUUGUCAGAGGUGAAAUUCUUGGAUUUAUGAAAGACGAACUUCUGCGAAAGCAUUUGCCAAGGAUGUUUUCAUUGA
This 365-nucleotide ribosomal RNA is filed under the name uncultured eukaryote. RNAcentral's name for it is "partial 18S ribosomal RNA". It matches the Rfam family "Eukaryotic small subunit ribosomal RNA", at positions 592 to 976 of the family's 1831-position model. The record is from RNAcentral.